UCCAUUUUUUCAGAAAUCACUAUUUGAUGCAUCCCUAAUCUGCAUCAUUAUAAUUUUGUCAGAUGGGCUGCUUUGUGUUCUUCAGCCUAAUACUGUUGAUUUGAAGUCAUUAAAAACAUCAAAAAGAUGUCAUCAGACGGACAGUCAUUUGGUCCAGGCACAGUGCCAAACCCAGCACCUCUCUCUCAACUGACAGCCAAGCUGGAUGACAUGAGAAAACUAAUUGGAGUACUGGAAGGACAGAAGUCAUUUAUUUACUUUUGGGCUACUCAUCUAUUAACUAUUACUAACAAUUAGCUUACCAAAAGAGAGUAUUUACAUUACGCUUCGAGUAUUAUUGCCUAUCCCGAGUUGAAGGGUGGCAAAGGUGGUUGUGUAAGUAUAUAUUUUUAGAGAUGAGGAUUUUGUGAAUCAUUGUUUUAUUAUCAAUAUUUGUUUACUAUAUUUCUGUAGUUUCUGUAUUAUUAUGGUUUAUUAUUUAUAGUGAAAACACAGCUAAGUACAUGCAUCAGAAACCAAAAGGCCAAUAUUAAGAAAAAAUUCAAUAUCUCCCACAAUCCAGUUAGAUUUACGCCUGCAAAUCUCUACUCGUAGACAAAAAAUUUACACCAGUACAAACUGACAUAGAGGAUGCUUUAAAGGAAUUAGAAAAGAGUAAGGGCGCCUCAUGUGCGGCGCUUACUCAAAGAUACUUUUGGUAAACGAAGGACGUGGAUUUAAAAUGAUGCAAACAGAAUUUCUGAAGUGGUGCAAAAGUACCCACAUCUCAAAUUGAAUACCUUGAUAAUAUUUAAAUGUUUUUUACAUUUCUUAGUAAUAUAACAGUCAAUUGUAAGUUAAGGGAAAACUACAAAAUAUUUUUUUCUAUACAGGUUCUGUCUGAGUUAUGCACUAUGCAAAAAUGGAAGGAGGAAGAAGGAACUGUAGAAGACAAGUCAGAAAAGUAGAUGCUAUGAUUGAAAUCCCAGGACAGCAUUUUGAUAUUAAGCAGAAUGAAUUAGGUAAAGCCCAAAUCAUACUUAGAUUCAACGAAUGUUGAGUGAGAAACAAGAAACUUAAGAAAUAUAACCCUUUGUUUCUUGUGAAAUAGGCUAUGUCUUCCACGCAAGAUUUAGUGACAGUGGAAGGCGAUUCACUUCGACUAGUUACGUUCGGGUGUAUAUCAGUUGGACACGGGGCAAUUGGACACAGUCCAAUCACAAGUCGCUGUUCCAAGGGACCCUACAAAUGUCUCUAAUCAUACGGCGCUGUGAUUGGCUGUGUCCAAAUGCACCGUGUCCAAGUGCACCGCUCCCGUUAUGUUCACAAUUGAGGGAGCUCUUGCUACAGCCUAUGUAGUCGCAGAUGAGAUUAGAACGAAAAUUGUUAAGCCAAUUGUUUCCAAAUAAGUAGCUUGUUUAUUGGCUUCAUACUAUGUUUGGGAUACAAUCUACCCCAGUGCAUAUAAAAAUACUAUGGAAUACAUUGAUCAUGAAGUGUUGGGAACAAUAAUGAAAGAAAAUACAGUCAUAGACAAAUUCAUCAGGGAUUACAACCGCACCCGGUUUGAGUAAUGUAUUGAUGUGUGAUCUCGUAAUGUAUGAAAAUAACUUUGUGGAUAAAAUUUAAUUAUCCUUUAUUUUUUCAUUACUAUUAACUUUCCAUCUCUAUCUGUAUGUGCCUAUACGUAUACACACAUAUAUGCACAUAUAGAAAUAUAUUAUUGAUUCUUUGCAUCUAUAUAUUUCAGGAUGUUUUAUUUGAAAUGAAGCACUAAAGUAUUAUAAGAAAUAACGGCAUCUAGCGUUAGAGGUUAAAAAUAUUAGAUAGAUAGCAGGCGGCGCUGCUGGAAGGAAAGAAGAGGAAUAAGCGGUAUUGGGAGCGGAGCAGUCUGUAGGAAGAUAGAGAAAGAAGUGAGAGUAAGUAAGAGAAAAGUUAGAAGAAAGCAAAGAGAGAAUAAAGGAGUGCAUAACGUUCGAGGAGAGAGCCUUGAACUAGCGGCGUGAGACGAGGUAGUGUAGGCGAAGAAAAAGUACCGCGAAAGAAGUAACCUCAUUAGUCGCGUGCGCGAUAGAGCAUUCCUAGGAGAGAUACGGGAUUCUCUCACGUGGUAGUAGCGGCGGUUGGAGAGAGGCGAGCAGCCUUCCAACAAUAGAGAAUGCGUGUUACUAAAGUCGAUGGAACAGAAUUUAUUGAUAAACCGAAAUUAUAGAAAGCUUCUUGAAUAGAUAAACUAACAGUAAGAUUUGAAAAGGCACAUAAGGAGCAAGCACGGAUGCUU
Molecule: long non-coding RNA, 2260 nt
Organism: Odontomachus brunneus
Lineage: Eukaryota; Metazoa; Arthropoda; Insecta; Hymenoptera; Formicidae
Exons: 3
Source: RefSeq, a predicted model, not a curated record